AGCGUAGACGGCACGGCAAGCCAGAUGUGAAAGCCCGGGGCUCAACCCCGGGACUACAUUUGGAACUGCUGAGCUAGAGUGUCGGAGAGGCAAGUGGAAUUCCUAGUGUAGCGGUGAAAUGCGUAGAUAUUAGGAGGAACACCAGUGGCGAAGGCGGCUUGCUGGACGAUGACUGACGUUGAGGCUCGAAAGCGUGGGAGCAAACA
Molecule: ribosomal RNA, 206 nt
Filed under: uncultured bacterium
Lineage: Bacteria
Description: partial 16S ribosomal RNA
Rfam family: Bacterial small subunit ribosomal RNA
Source: RNAcentral